CGAGCAUCAGUGACGAACAAUUUCAAUUCGUUAUCCUUGCACUUUGAUUGUUGGUGAAGAAACUUACGGGGAAUUGUUUAUUUUGUUAGAUUAAUGGAUCUAUGAUGUUA
This is a small nucleolar RNA of Vicia villosa (hairy vetch), 110 nucleotides long. RefSeq annotates it as small nucleolar RNA snoR26. Lineage: Eukaryota; Viridiplantae; Streptophyta; Magnoliopsida; Fabales; Fabaceae. The transcript has a single exon. The record is from RefSeq and is a predicted model, not a curated record.